This 214-nucleotide unclassified non-coding RNA is filed under the name Hevea brasiliensis (rubber tree). The record is from RNAcentral. Lineage: Eukaryota; Viridiplantae; Streptophyta; Magnoliopsida; Malpighiales; Euphorbiaceae.
UAGACAUAUCCUGUUAAAACCAAAACUUCCCAUACCUAUGAAAGUAUCCUUAGAUGAGCUUUUUUCAUUAUUACAAUUGUGCCUUUUGCAUGUUAUUUUCUCUGGUCUACAGGUGUAAUAUCUUCUCAUACGUUACAAGCGUAUAUUGCAAUGUUGAAUGGUGGCCUUUUGGUCCUCUUUUGAAACAAUUAUGCAACUUGAUUCUUACAUUUCC